Epinephelus fuscoguttatus (brown-marbled grouper) is the source of this 485-nucleotide long non-coding RNA. RefSeq lists it as uncharacterized. Lineage: Eukaryota; Metazoa; Chordata; Actinopteri; Perciformes; Serranidae. The record is from RefSeq and is a predicted model, not a curated record. The transcript is spliced from 5 exons.
CUGGCGAGUUCAAGUUUGGAUUUUCCGCCAUCUUCCUUUCUCGCAUGAAAACGCCACGGAAGAAAAGAGAAAGAAAUCGGCCUGAAAUGAUUGCACAUAAUCAAAAGCAGCAACUUUUAAUCGAAUUUCACUCGUAGCUCCAAGAAGACAGCAACUUCAAUCUGCGACCUUUUGUCAGCCUUCUGAAGAAUUUCACUCCAAGCUCAAGAAGUCAGCAUCCUCCCUCUGCAACCUUUUAUUUUGUCAGCCCUUUUCUAAAGACUCUUGAGCAUGGCUGGAAAGAAGUCUGCAAAGCUGUUGGUUUUUCUGAGUCAAGACAACAAAAGAAAAUUGUUGCUGCCAAAUGGGAUUCCAGAGUCUGUGGAGGAGCUUGUUGAUGAUGUGAGGAGAGCUUGUGGAUUGAGUGGGAACUUCAGGAUCCAGUACCAGGACAAAGACUUUGGUGAUACAUUUGUAAAUUUAACAUCUACUGGAGGACUUCAGGA